CUGGUCGAGCCAGAAGAACAACAAAAAUGAAGAAAAUAAUACAAUCGUUUCUUCUUCUAAGCUUGGUUUUUAUACUUCUAUGUGUAUCCUUUCAGGCUGGUGUGACAGAGGCUAGAUUCCGUCACCUAGGUGUGGGUGCUGUGAAACCAACACCAAUGAUAGGAAGACGAAUGAUAAUGGUAGGAGCUCCCCCACUGCGUAGUGCUGGAGGAAAUGAUUAGACUCCUUGCCAGACACGAACAGGAGAGCAUUGUAGACUUCCUCCAACACCUCCUCGUCUACCUUAAUUCAUGCCUCACUACAGAAGUUAGCAACUUUGAAUAUGAAUUUAUAUAUUACACUCGAAUCCACAGGGCCACCAAGGAUGUAAUGUAACUCCAAUUAUUGUUUAGUAAAAACACACACAUAUAUACUUGAUCGAAGAUUGAAGAACCAUCGUUUCUUUUUUUUUUUGGUUAAGAAAACCAUCGUUUAUUGAAGAAGCUAUAGAGUCAAUUAGAGAAAGUACUAGUUUGAAAGGCUUGGUGGAAGUGGAACUGAUCAUGUAUACGUAAAGAAAAAAAUUAUUUGCCAAGUUGACAUUAUUAUUUCCAUAAGCAAAUCAUGUAUACAUGGUAAAAAAAAUUAUCUUCGCCG
Long non-coding RNA from Raphanus sativus (radish), 636 nucleotides. RefSeq lists it as uncharacterized. NCBI's taxonomy places the organism in Eukaryota, Viridiplantae, Streptophyta, Magnoliopsida, Brassicales, Brassicaceae. The record is from RefSeq and is a predicted model, not a curated record. The transcript is spliced from 2 exons.